AGGUCAUAGUGAUCCGGUGGUUCUGAAUGGAAGGGCCAUCGCUCAACGGAUAAAAGGUACUCCGGGGAUAACAGGCUGAUACCGCCCAAGAGUUCAUAUCGACGGCGGUGUUUGGCACCUCGAUGUCGGCUCAUCACAUCCUGGGGCUGAAGUAGGUCCCAAGGGUAUGGCUGUUCGCCAUUUAAAGUGGUACGCGAGCUGGGUUUAGAACGUCGUGAGACAGUUCGGUCCCUAUCUGCCGUGGGCGCUGGAAGAUUGAGGGGGGCUGCUCCUAGUACGAGAGGACCGGAGUGGACGCAUCACUGGUGUUCGGGUUGUCAUGCCAAUGGCACUGCCCGGUAGCUACAUGCGGAAGAGAUAAGUGCUGAAAGCAUCUAAGCACGAAACUUGCCCCGAGAUGAAUCUUCCCUGAGCCUUUAAGGCUCCUGAAGGAACGUUGAAGACGACGACGUUGAUAGGCCGGGUGUGUAAGCGCAGCGAUGCGUUGAGCUAACCGGUACUAAUGAACCGUGAGGCUUAACCUU
Molecule: ribosomal RNA, 524 nt
Filed under: Salmonella enterica
Lineage: Bacteria; Pseudomonadati; Pseudomonadota; Gammaproteobacteria; Enterobacterales; Enterobacteriaceae
Description: partial 23S ribosomal RNA
Rfam family: Bacterial large subunit ribosomal RNA
Source: RNAcentral